UUCAGUUACCAACUUUUAUCGUCAGUGAAAUGUGUAAGGACUUGACUAAUGUGACUAAUCUCUGUAACAGUGACUGCAGAGCCUUUAUUCAGCUCAAAAUAUUUGAAAACGAUGAGCAUUGUAGUGCCACAUGGAGUUUGAGUGGAGUGGUUGUAUUAAAAACGAGCAGGGAAAUUAAAUCUGGAGCCCAUAGAGGAGGACUUAGCAGUGCUAAAGACUCAUAUAAAGUCGCUCUGACAGAUGCUGAUACACAGAGCAGGGUGUGACGGCGGCCCGCUCCAUCACUCAUCUCCAUCCACACACAUCGGUUCAGUUCUCAUGACGCUCAGAGAUGAAAAAUAAUUAAUUCAACAGCUACUGAAGCACAGAAUCACAUCCAUUCUGACUGCCACUGGCUAUUGUUGUUGGCUUUUGAAAUAUAUGAUGAUCAUCUUA
Long non-coding RNA from Centropristis striata (black sea bass), 435 nucleotides. RefSeq lists it as uncharacterized. The transcript is spliced from 2 exons. The record is from RefSeq and is a predicted model, not a curated record. Lineage: Eukaryota; Metazoa; Chordata; Actinopteri; Perciformes; Serranidae.